UACGUAGGGGGCAAGCGUUGUCCGGAUUCAUUGGGCGUAAAGAGCGUGUAGGCGGCCAGGUAGGUCGGUUGUGAAAACUGGAGGCUCAACCUUCAGAGGUCGACCGAAACCAUCUGGCUAGAGUCCGGGAGAGGAGAGUGGAAUUCCUGGUGUAGCGGUGAAAUGCGCAGAUAUCAGGAAGAACACCCGUUGCGAAAGCGGCUCGCUGGAACGGUACUGACGCUGAGACGCGAAAGCGUGGGGAGCGAACAGG
This 253-nucleotide ribosomal RNA is filed under the name uncultured bacterium. Its description in RNAcentral is "partial 16S ribosomal RNA". It matches the Rfam family "Bacterial small subunit ribosomal RNA", at positions 524 to 776 of the family's 1533-position model. The record is from RNAcentral.